CCCUUAGAGUUUGAUCAUGGCUCAGAACGAACGCUGGCGGCAUGCCUAACACAUGCAAGUCGAACGAAGGCCCUAGCUUGCUAGGUGUCCUUAGUGGCGAACGGGUGAGUAACGCGUGGGAAUCUGCCAUAGAGUGGGGAACAACUUUUGGAAACGAAAGCUAAUACCGCAUACGCCCUCCGGGGGAAAGGCUUCGGCCGCUCUUUGAUGAUCCCGCGUCUGAUUAGCUUGUUGGUAGGGUAACGGCUUACCAAGGCGACGAUCAGUAGCUGGUCUGAGAGGAUGAUCAGCCACACUGGGACUGAGACACGGCCCAGACUCCUACGGGAGGCAGCAGUGGGGAAUAUUGGACAAUGGGGGAAACCCUGAUCCAGCAAUGCCGCGUGAGUGAAGAAGGCCUUAGGGUUGUAAAACUCUUUCGCCGGUGAAGAUGAUGACUGUAGCCGGUAAAGAAGCCCCGGCUAACUCCGUGCCAGCAGCCGCGGUAAUACGGAGGGGGCUAGCGUUGUUCGGAUUUACUGGGCGUAAAGCGCACGUAGGCGGCAUAUUAAGUUAGAGGUGAAAGGCCUGGGCUCAACCUAGGAACUGCCUUUAAUACUGGUAUGCUUGAGUUCGGAAGAGGGUAGUGGAAUUCCAAGUGUAGAGGUGAAAUUCGUAGAUAUUUGGAAGAACACCGGUGGCGAAGGCGGCUACCUGGUCCGAUGCUGACGCUGAGGUGCGAAAGCGUGGGGAGCGAACAGGAUUAGAUACCCUGGUAGUCCACGCCGUAAACGA
RNAcentral lists this ribosomal RNA (774 nucleotides) under uncultured bacterium. RNAcentral's name for it is "bacterial SSU rRNA". It matches the Rfam family "Bacterial small subunit ribosomal RNA", at positions 1 to 809 of the family's 1533-position model. The record is from RNAcentral.